Molecule: non-coding RNA, 23 nt
Filed under: Cricetulus griseus (Chinese hamster)
Lineage: Eukaryota; Metazoa; Chordata; Mammalia; Rodentia; Cricetidae
Source: RNAcentral
GACUGAACUCAAAUUCUCUGUCG